UGUUGGCCAACUUUCUCACUGUCUCUCCUCUCCUUUACUCUCCUUGUGCCGUCUUCCUUCGUAGGACAUGGGCAGGCGUGCUAGGUGUGCAUCCCUACAUGCCAGGUUUUGGGAGUCGCGGACAAAAAUCAUGCUGGGCAGUGGGUGCGAGAGUGGAGUGGUGACUGUGGGUGUUAACUCGGUCUCUGUUCAUUGAAUGGGGUCGAUGUAGAUGGGACUAGAGAGGGAGGCAGGGAUGAGGGCAAGAUUUCCAGCACCAAUAGAGCUCUGUGUAGUGAUAGUUCUUGUUUGGCUUUAUUAGUUUGCAGAGGAAUCGUCCAGGAACCCUAGCCGGACAAGAAUAUGGCAGAAGUGGACCUGAGCAGCCUGGACAUCCUUCUAAGGAGACAUGAAUAGUCCUCAUGUUUCUGCCUUCUGCAUCGCUGGCUGUGAGUAAGUGUACCAAGGAAAAAGAAGUCACGCGUCAGAGUCUACUGCCCUCAUGCGAUGUAAAGUGAGGGAGAGCAGCAAGCCUGUAACUACUGUUGAUGCCAGGCAAGGGCCAUCUAUCUGGGAUCCGAGCAGACUCCUCUCUCCAUGUGAUAAGUGUCUGGUUUGGUGAUUGCUGUGCUCACGGUCCACCUUGGUCCUGCUAGGGAUGCCCUGUUAGCUGGGGCUGGGCUUGUAAGAAAUGGUUACUGACCAGCUGCGCUUAUGAGAGAGACAAGAUCCCCAUUUCUGGGGGCUGCUCAUUUCUCUGGCCAGGAGCGGUGUGUCCUCCGCCGCAGAAGGUUGCAUCUAGGAGAAUGACUCCAGGUGGUGAGUUGCUUGCCUUCCUCCCAUCUUUCUCUUCUCUUGGCCCACACACAGCCUCUGUCUGUCUGUCUGUCCUUCCCUUUCCUUCUGCUGUCUCCCUUCGUAAGACAGUGGUAGACGUGCUAGGUAUGUAUCCCUACAAGCCAGGUCUCGGGCGCCAUGGAGAAGUAAGAGUGGACGAAAAGCAUGUGGGGCAGUGGGCACUAAAGUGGAGCUGUGACUGUCUGUGUUUACUCAGUCUCUGUUCAUCGAAUGGGGCUGAUGUAGAUGGGACUGGAGAGGGAGGCAGGGCUGAGGGAAAGAUUUUCAGCACCAAUAGAGCUCUGUGUAGUGAUAGUUCUUGCUUGGCUUUAUUAGUUUGCAGAGGAAUCGUCCCGGAGCCCUAGCUGGACAAGAAUAUGGCAGAAGUGGACCUGAGCAGCCUGGACAUGCUUCUAAGGAGACGUGAAUAGUUGUCAUGUUUCUGCCUUCUGUAUCACUGGCUGUGAGUAAGAGUAUCAAGGAAAACGAAGUCACGCGUCAGAGUCUACUGCCCUCAUGCGAUGGAAAGCGAGCCAGAGCGUCGAGACUCUGAGCAUUGCUGAUGCCAUGCAAAAGCCGUCCAUCUGGAAGCUGAGGAGACGCCGCUGUGAGUGAGAUAAGUGUCUGGUUUGGUGAGGGCUCUGCUCACGCUCAACCUGAGUCCAGGUAGGGAAGCCCAGUACGGUAGGGCUGGGUUUGUAUGAAAAGGUUUCUGAUUAGCUGUGGUCGCGAGGGAGAAAAGGUCCCUAUUUUCAAAGGUUGCUCAUUUCUCUGGUCAGGAACAGUGUCUCCUCCGCAGCAGAAGGUUGGAUCCAGGAGGAUGACUCAGGUGGUGAGUUGCUUGCUUUCCUCCCAUAUUUUUUUUCCUCUCUCUCUCUUCUCUAGUGUGUUGGCCAACUUUCUCACUGUGCCCCGCUCAAUGAACAUAGACUGAGAUAACACCGACCG
Long non-coding RNA from Trachemys scripta elegans, 1764 nucleotides. RefSeq lists it as uncharacterized. The record is from RefSeq and is a predicted model, not a curated record. Lineage: Eukaryota; Metazoa; Chordata; Testudines; Emydidae. The transcript is spliced from 3 exons.